This 791-nucleotide ribosomal RNA is filed under the name Halomonas sp. C11.5. Its description in RNAcentral is "bacterial SSU rRNA". It matches the Rfam family "Bacterial small subunit ribosomal RNA", at positions 35 to 817 of the family's 1533-position model. Lineage: Bacteria; Pseudomonadati; Pseudomonadota; Gammaproteobacteria; Oceanospirillales; Halomonadaceae. The record is from RNAcentral.
GCUGGCGGCAGGCCUAACUCAUGCAAGUCGAGCGGAAACGAUCCUAGCUUGCUAGGAGGCGUCGAGCGGCGGACGGGUGAGUAAUGCAUAGGAAUCUGCCCGGUAGUGGGGGAUAACUUGAGGAAACUCAAGCUAAUACCGCAUACGCCCCAAGGGGGAAAGCAGGGGAUCUUCGGACCUUGCGCUAUCGGAUGAGCCUAUGUCGGAUUAGCUAGUUGGUGAGGUAAUGGCUCACCAAGGCCGCGAUCCGUAGCUGGUCUGAGAGGAUGAUCAGCCACAUCGGGACUGAGACACGGCCCGAACUCCUACGGGAGGCAGCAGUGGGGAAUAUUGGACAAUGGGCGAAAGCCUGAUCCAGCCAUGCCGCGUGUGUGAAGAAGGCCUUCGGGUUGUAAAGCACUUUCAGCGAGGAAGAACGCUUGUGGGUUAAUACCCUGCAAGAAGGACAUCACUCGCAGAAGAAGCACCGGCUAACUCCGUGCCAGCAGCCGCGGUAAUACGGAGGGUGCAAGCGUUAAUCGGAAUUACUGGGCGUAAAGCGCGCGUAGGCGGCUUGAUAAGCCGGUUGUGAAAGCCCCGGGCUCAACCUGGGAACGGCAUCCGGAACUGUCAGGCUAGAGUGCAGGAGAGGAAGGUAGAAUUCCCGGUGUAGCGGUGAAAUGCGUAGAGAUCGGGAGGAAUACCAGUGGCGAAGGCGGCCUUCUGGACUGACACUGACGCUUAGGUGCNAAAGCGUGGGUAGCAAACAGGAUUAGAUACCCUGGUAGUCCACGCCGUAAACGAUGUCGACU